UGGGGAAUAUUGCACAAUGGGCGCAAGCCUGAUGCAGCCAUGCCGCGUGUAUGAAGAAGGCCUUCGGGUUGUAAAGUACUUUCAGCGGGGAGGAAGUUGUUGUGGUUAAUAACCACAGCAAUUGACGUUACCCGCAGAAGAAGCACCGGCUAACUCCGUGCCAGCAGCCGCGGUAAUACGGAGGGUGCAAGCGUUAAUCGGAAUUACUGGGCGUAAAGCGCACGCAGGCGGUCUGUCAAGUCGGAUGUGAAAUCCCCGGGCUCAACCUGGGAACUGCAUCCGAAACUGGCAGGCUUGAGUCUUGUAGAGGGGGGUAGAAUUCCAGGUGUAGCGGUGAAAUGCGUAGAGAUCUGGAGGAAUACCGGUGGCGAAGGCGGCCCCCUGGACAAAGACUGACGCUCAGGUGCGAAAGCGUGGGGAGCAAACA
Molecule: ribosomal RNA, 427 nt
Filed under: uncultured bacterium
Lineage: Bacteria
Description: partial 16S ribosomal RNA
Rfam family: Bacterial small subunit ribosomal RNA
Source: RNAcentral